RNAcentral lists this ribosomal RNA (301 nucleotides) under uncultured bacterium. RNAcentral's name for it is "partial 16S ribosomal RNA". It matches the Rfam family "Bacterial small subunit ribosomal RNA", at positions 509 to 807 of the family's 1533-position model. The record is from RNAcentral.
CAGUAGCCACGGUAAUACGUAGGGUGCGAGCGUUAAUCGGAAUUACUGGGCGUAAAGCGUGCGCAGGCGGUUCGUUAAGACAGAUGUGAAAUCCCCGGGCUUAACCUGGGAACUGCAUUUGUGACUGGCGAGCUAGAGUAUGGCAGAGGGGGGUAGAAUUCCACGUGUAGCAGUGAAAUGCGUAGAGAUGUGGAGGAAUACCGAUGGCGAAGGCAGCCCCCUGGGCCAAUACUGACGCUCAUGCACGAAAGCGUGGGGAGCAAACAGGAUUAGAUACCCCUGUAGUCCCUGUCUCUUAUAC